AGCAUGUACAUUUCGAUUCUCAGAAGAUGAAGGUUUCCUUGGCCGCACAGACACUCAGUCGCUCCGUGACAGUAGCUCUGCGAACACUGCGAGACCUUGGCUAUCCACAGUUUGAACACUGUGAAGCAACAGCUGAAUUCAUUGAGGUACCUGUCUGUCAUGGGGUUCAUCAUCAACAUUGAUACCCUCAUGUUGUUGAUUCCUGAGCUGCUACAAAUUCAGCGAUAUGUCUGCACCUAUCGAUUUAGUCAGGAUCACUUGGAGCUCCUCUUCAAUUCUAUCAGGGCGUCAGGAGGCUGGAAUAACAAUCCUACUGCAGGCCAGUUCCAGGGCAUUUUCCGCCAUCUCAUGGUCCGAUGUGGUGUCUCACCAAGCAUUUCAGGAAACGUGGUAGAUUAAAAUGAGACCGUGUCCCUAUCAGCUGUUGAGAUGUCGUCGACUCUAGCAGCAGAAGAAUCUGAAGACCUUCCGUCCCCUUUUGUAAACCUGUCUGCACUUGUAUAUGACCACAGCUACCUGCCCACCCGUCUUGGGAGCCUUGUGGACAAUGCCCUUGUGUACAUUUCAGGGUUUGUUGUACGUCAGACUUUGAGGAAGCUGUCCUGUGAUGUGUGCCGUGUUAGCUUGGUGACAGAUGCCAUCUCUGCUUCAUUUGAUCAGAGCUAUCACUUACUUACACUAAAAAACAAUGGAGGACUCAUGAUUCCUUCUGAAGGUACAGUGAAGGUGGUCAGAUCAGCUGAGCGGUUUAUUCGCCAGUCAUCCUCUGGGAAAGCCGUCAAAGUGUCCGUGAUCAGUCAACUUGUCCGAGCUGAGAUUGGUUCAGAGGAUGUGUUUUGUCUCAAGGAGCACAUUGAGGAAACACAGUUUGGAAUUGACAACCAUCAUUUUUCUCUCUUGUCAUUAGUUGUGUCUGUCUUCCACAAACUAAGGAUGCACCACAUUGCCAAACUGAACACACUUACACUACAGAGUGGCAGCUCGAGAAAAAAGCUCUGCAAAACUGUUUUGUUCAAAGGGUUUUAGCUCUUGCACUCUGCAACCCUACAAAGGAUUAGUGAUUAUAGAUGAUUGAUAGAUAUUAUAUAGCUUUUAUUAUUAUUAUUAUUACUAAUUUUAUUAUUCAUUAUUUCA
This is a long non-coding RNA of Carassius gibelio (silver crucian carp), 1134 nucleotides long. RefSeq lists it as uncharacterized. NCBI's taxonomy places the organism in Eukaryota, Metazoa, Chordata, Actinopteri, Cypriniformes, Cyprinidae. The transcript has 3 exons. The record is from RefSeq and is a predicted model, not a curated record.